GGACAUGCCACUCCAGACAGAACUCAACUUCCCUAGUGACUAUUGGCUAUCCAACCUCUCCUCCAGAAGAUAGAUGUCUACCAACUAGGAAGAGAGCCCUCACCAGGAACCAAAUCUGCUGACACCUGGAUCUUGAACUUCCCAGCCAACAGAAUUGUGAGGAAUAAAUGUAUGUAUUUUAA
Homo sapiens (human) is the source of this 182-nucleotide long non-coding RNA. RefSeq lists it as uncharacterized. The record is from RefSeq and is a predicted model, not a curated record. The transcript has 2 exons. NCBI's taxonomy places the organism in Eukaryota, Metazoa, Chordata, Mammalia, Primates, Hominidae.